Molecule: small nucleolar RNA, 146 nt
Filed under: Mus pahari (shrew mouse)
Lineage: Eukaryota; Metazoa; Chordata; Mammalia; Rodentia; Muridae
Description: predicted gene, 24879 (MGP_PahariEiJ_G0034107.1)
Source: RNAcentral
UUCCCUGGCAAUGGGCAGAGAGACACCUUGUUGGUGGUGGUGUUCUUAUUGAUAUAAGUAGGGGCAGAGCGGAUGGCAGUCCUUUGUUCAUCCUGGCUUGAUGCCUGGCUUGGUGGGCAAAGCUGUCUUAUUCCUAGGACUAAUAA